GAUGAACGCUGGCGGCGUGCCUAAUACAUGCAAGUCGAGCGCACGGACGAGAUGCUUGUAUUUCUGAUAUUAGCGGCGGACGGGUGAGUAACACGUGGAUAACCUACCUAUGAGACUGGGAUAACUUCGGGAAACCAGUGCUAAUACCGCAUAAUAUUUUGAAACACAUGGUUCAAGAGUGAAAGAUGCUCUUGCUGUAACCUAUAGAUGGAUCCGCGCUGCAUAAGCAAGUUGGUAAGGAAACGGCUUCCAAAGGCAACGAUGCAUAGCCGACCUGAGAGGGGGACCGGCCACACGGGAACUGAAACACGCUCCAGACUCCUAGGGAAGGCACAAUAAGGGAAUCUUCCGCAAGGGGCGAAGUCCGAACGGGGCAACGCGGGUUGGGGGAUGAAGGUCUCCGGUUCGAAAAACUCGUUUAUUAGGGAAGAACAUAUUGGUAGGGAACUGUGCACAUCGUGACGGUACCUAAUCAGAAAGCCACGGCUAACUACGUG
RNAcentral lists this ribosomal RNA (497 nucleotides) under uncultured bacterium. RNAcentral describes it as "partial 16S ribosomal RNA". It matches the Rfam family "Bacterial small subunit ribosomal RNA", at positions 28 to 507 of the family's 1533-position model. The record is from RNAcentral.